AACGAACGCUGGCGGCAUGCCUAACACAUGCAAGUCGAACGAGACCUUCGGGUCUAGUGGCGUAUGGGUGCGUAACGCGUGGGAACCUGCCUUUAGGUUCGGAAUAACACAGAGAAAUUUGAGCUAAUACCGGAUGAUGUCUUCGGACCACAGAUUUAUCGCCUUUAGAUGGGCGCGCGUUGGAUUAGCUAGUGGGUGGGGUAAAGGCCUACCACGGCGACGAUCCAUAGCUGGUCUGAGAGGAUGAUCAGCCACACUGGGACUGAGACACGGCCCAGACUCCUACGGGAGGCAGCAGUGGGGAAUAUUGGACAAUGGGCGAAAGCCUGAUCCAGCAAUGCCGCGUGAGUGAUGAAGGCCUUAGGGUUGUAAAGCUCUUUUACCCGAGAUGAUAAUGACAGUAUCGGGAGAAUAAGCUCCGGCUAACUCCGUG
This 433-nucleotide ribosomal RNA is filed under the name uncultured bacterium. RNAcentral's name for it is "partial 16S ribosomal RNA". It matches the Rfam family "Bacterial small subunit ribosomal RNA", at positions 29 to 507 of the family's 1533-position model. The record is from RNAcentral.